This is a non-coding RNA of Cordylochernes scorpioides, 86 nucleotides long. The record is from the annotation of a GenBank genome assembly. Lineage: Eukaryota; Metazoa; Arthropoda; Arachnida; Pseudoscorpiones; Chernetidae.
UCCCUCGAGCCGGAUUUGAACAGCGACCUAAGGAUCACCGUUGUAACAUCUACAGUCCUCCGCUCUACCAACUGAGCUAUCGAGGG